Molecule: long non-coding RNA, 715 nt
Filed under: Parus major (Great Tit)
Lineage: Eukaryota; Metazoa; Chordata; Aves; Passeriformes; Paridae
Description: lncRNA (ENSPMJG00000002767.1)
Source: RNAcentral
GCUGAAGGCAAUCUGUAAAAACAAGGGCCUGAACUGUCAGAUCGCCCAAGCACGGCCUCAUCUCUUGCCUCGGUGCUAAUGAGAGGUGAAGUUGUGCUGCCAGACACCCACUGGUCAGAGAAGGGAGGCAAAGGAGAGCUGAAGUGAUAAACUUCUCUAUUUAAAGUGACGUUUUCUGUGUUGAAACCACUCAGGUUCUGGCAGCCUUUGUAAUGUUAAAAGAGACACUAAAAAGGGAGAAAAAAUAAUAAACCCCUGCCUGAUUCUCAGAUGUCUGGUCCUUACUAUUUAAUUUUAAUACAAAUGUGACAUGGUUUAGUAUUCUGUCAGUUAAAUUCAAUUGUCAGGGUGAUGUGGAAGGGUGCCUGAACUGAAACCCCAGGUGGAAAACGAUCCACCCCUCCCAGUGGUUUUCCCAGACCUCACCCUGCAGUGAUGGACCAGCAGGGCACCAGCUUGGGAGGGCUGAGGGAAGCACAGAACCCUUCCUGAUCCCAGCAUUGCUUUUAUUUACUUCCCCCAUGUGCAGGAAAAGCAUGACAGGUGGAGUGGCUCCAGUGCUGUGUCAACCUCCUGCCUCUCACAUCAUGAGGUUUUCGUGGAGGUACAUCAAGUGCUGGAGUGAAGGGAAAUAAAAUAUAACGGCAGUUUUCUCUGCUAAUGGAAGAAGAAAAAAAACAGAGGGCAAAAAGGACAUAAUAUAUAUUUAAAAUGU